RNAcentral lists this long non-coding RNA (3767 nucleotides) under Panax ginseng (ginseng). RNAcentral's name for it is "long non-coding RNA (PGIN_LNC017933)". The record is from RNAcentral. Lineage: Eukaryota; Viridiplantae; Streptophyta; Magnoliopsida; Apiales; Araliaceae.
GAAGGAAAACAAGCAUGAGCUGCCUCUUUGUGGGAUUAGUAAGUUGACACCUCACUUGUAUAAUAGGAGCUGUCCUUAUAGUAUGCAUAUAGACUUGUUACUCGGUUGGGCAGUAAGGAAUGUUAUCCUAUGAAUUAAAUGUUCCCAACAUUCCCUAAUUUUUCCUUCUCUCUCAAAUGAUUCCGCUCCUUGCUAAGGCAAAUACGGAACUCCUCUCCAUCUAAUCACAAUUGAGUUACUCCUUAGCAAUCUCCAGUACUUAUAUUCCGCGGGCACAAGAAAAUAAUUUGAAAGCUUCAUAAUAUCCUUGAGCAGCUGGGAUUAAGUUGCAGAAUAGUAAGAAAUUAUAAGCAAUCAAGUGAAAGGUAUGUGAAUUAUUUUACUAAGUUUUGUUAGCUAUGAUGUUAGUAUUGAGCAAAGUGAUUGUGAAUUAGAACAAAACAGUUGGUUAUAAAACAAAACAAAAACUGUUAGUUUAUUGGUUGUUUGAGUAUUCAUGUUUUGUUUGUGAAAUUGACUGCUAUGAAUUUAAUUUAGGCACAAAGAGAUAAGUGGGCUGUGGAGUAAUAAGGAGAAUAAUAUGAGUUUAUAAUAUAAACCUAUGGCUAUGAAUCUAGUAACACAAAACUGUGCACACUACGUGUUUGUUAAAAGUCCCAAGUGGACUGUAUUGAUUAGAAAUCAAUUACUAGAUAAAAUCAAAAACUGGGACAAAGUGGUAUGCUAUAUGAGUUUAUAAUCAGAGUAAAUAAGCAUGCUAGUUUGAAAUGAAACUCAAUUAUAGCCAAAGGAAAAACAGAGUAUGUCAAUGCUCAUGUAAGUGCUGUUUUGUGCAGUCAACUGAAACUGAAAUGGAAGUGCUUCAAUUUCUACAAAUAUUAUUAUUAUAUGAUAGAUGUAAUAUAUCUAAAAAGGAUAUAGAUGAACAUUUGAAUUGAAGCAACAAACUAGGGAAAUAGGCACAUAGCUGCUGCCUAUGGCAGCAGCAGUAUCAGUGAUAUGGUUUAGGUGAGAGUUUGUUUUAAGUUUUCAAUCGGCAAGCUUAGUGGUUUAAAUAACUUAGUUACUAUUUUAUUCAAGUUGGUAACUAUAUUACCUAUAUUAUCUCCAAAAUUGUAGUAUAUUAACUACAAGUUAGAAAUUGGUUGAAGGGCAGAGCAUGGCAGCAGCAGCAGUUUGCAACAGCCAUCAACCAAGAGAUAGUGGGUGUGGGUUGUGGCUGCAAGACAACUACAGCCAUAGCUAAUAAGUGCACUAAAGGAAUAAGCUACUGCUGUAUAGCAGCCAUGAACAACAAGUAGUAACGAGUCCCAACUUAUAGAGAUUUGAGCUGGGUAUAUGAUGGCUACAUAUUAGUUUAUAAAAGUAGUGAAGAAUUGUUUAUAAAUCUUUAACAAACAAUCCCAUGAGUUAUAAAAAAAAAAACUAAUUAAGAAAUGGGAUAGAAUAGCUGACUUGGACAGCUGCAGAACAAUGGCUGGGCUGGGGGGCUUUCAUUUGAGCAAUUCGACGGUAUAGUUGAAUGGUUUUACGAAUUUAAUUAGCAUUCUAUUUAAAUAGGAAGUAUGUAAACUUCUAUGCUUUCAAAGAAUGGCAUAAUAAGGUGUGUAAUUGGAGCUAAUUAUCGAGCAAGGGGGAGGCAAGCUGCUGCACAUUUGCAGCAACAGUUGUUAGCUAACUGCUAAUGCAGUGUAAAGCCACACUAAAAUUUAUUAAAUCCCACAAAGUCAAACAUAAGUGACUAAUAGCAUAAAAAAAUGCUAAGAAACUGUUAGUAUAUUUAAGUGAGCUACUUAACUCACUUAGUUAAAUAGAGGAAACAAAAGGAUAAUUAACAAGCAAAAUUUAACCUCAAUAGUAAGAGGUUGCUAAGCCAACUAAAUUACGCGAGAGAAUUGUUAAAGCAUCUAUAAAGGCUGCAAGAUAUAUUUAGCCAAAGAGGGUUAUUUUGACAUAACUAAGAAACGCUAUAAGUCGAAUGAAUAAUUUGACAAUAUAAUUUGCAAAGCAGAUUGGGAACUAAAAGUUCUACCCUUAUGAUAAACAAUCAUACUUAAUACAUGAAAUAUCUUACGUAUUCACCUUGAAUACCUAAGUUAUAAAGAAGAUUGCAAAGUAUACUCAUGGCAAGAAAGAAGAAAAAGGAAUAUAAACUAAAGUCAUGAAAAUUCAUGAACAUGGAUUAUGUCAGACCCUAUAAAAGAAAGAAAAGGCUAUUGUAAGAACAUGGAUGAGGUAUUUGAAAAAUGUAUAGAAAUAUCUCAAGCAUAAACUAAAAACAUUAUCACUAUGAGGUUUUUGACUUCUCCUUGGCCUUCAGUAUACACCUUGGGUACAUGGGCGUCAUCUCCCUUUGUGACUUGUUCAUAAAAAGAAACUUUCAAUAAGAAAAGGGUGUAUGAUAGAUUUGAAUGUGGCUUCGAAGGAAAUAAUGCAGACGUUUGGCUUUUCGAUAUUUGGAUUUGAUUAAUUAUUCAAUGCAUAUCUACUAUUAAAUACAGUGUUGUUUUGGAUGGUGAAAAACUUGAUGCCUUCUGUCCUAACAAAGGAUUGGGUGGGUAAAUACCUUUUCUGUACUUGUUCAAUAUGUUUCCUGAAAGUCUAUCCUUUGAUAAACUGGGCGGUAGAUAGUUUAUGGUUCCUCAUGUUAAAAUUUGAGUUAAACAAGUGGAUAACUCAUCAUAAUAGACAAUGAGAUUAAAGACUGGAAAAGUCCACUGAUUUGUAAGUGUUUCCCCAAGAAGUGACUCAAGAUACUUUAGUUGGCCCGUGCUCUUGGAUUUUGACAGGAAGCUCCUUGAGUUCUGCCAAGGAAAUGAAGUGGUAACUUUGCAAGAGAGACUCGGUGUCUCAACAACAUUGGAAGUUGCUACUAGUGGGAGACUAUGAAGAAGAAUGCCUAUUGAUUGAUGGUCCCCUAUCUAUACUGAGGAGGUUUCUUAUUGUGAAGAGGGUGUAGAGAAGCAUGAUAAAAAGUAAGGUGAAGAGGGGGUUUCUUAGUCAAGUGCUGCAUAGAUGGAAGAAUUCAACUAUGAAGCCACAAUCAUACAAAUUUUCAGCAUGGUUGUGUAUUGAAAGAAGUCACAGAAAUUAGCUAAGGAAUGGGAAGAUGCUUGAGACAUGGGAAGACUUUGCUCUCUAUUUCCGUAAUAAUGGUAGUUUAUCCACGUUAGCUCUCAAGCUUUCCUGUUUUUUUUCAUAAACCAUAAUCUCCAUUAUUGCAUACUAAUUUAUCUCGGCUUUAUCUCUUGACUGAUUUCUAGUGUUAAGGGUUGCAUGGUACCAGUUGCUGCAAAUACAUAUUCAUUUAUUUGGUUGGUCAUGUUUAUGACCUGCCUUUCAUGGUUUUUUCAGGAUAUAUUGAACUGAAGAACAUAGGAUCCUGUAAUGACUUUUCGUCAAAAAUGGAGUCAUGAAAAUAAUGAGGUAUACACCUGGUAAAUUCCCUCUGAAUCAAUUGCCUGAAUAAAUUUGUCUGGAAUGUGUUAGAUGUAUUGAAGUAUGAUGCAAUGUUCUGGAUUGUGAUUAGGGCGUCUGUCUGCUGAUAAAUUUGAUGAGUCAUUAGUCUUAGGCUGUUGGUCACUUGUCCUUCGUCAUGUGCCAUCAGGCAUAGGGCUAUGGGUCGAACGAUGAAUGCCCAACACGUGGCGGCUCAUUGUUUACAGGAAAAUUUGCUGGCCUUUCUUCAUCUUCUCAUGUAGAGUCCUCCAAACUAUUAUUCUUCCAUUGAACAAAUAUUUGAACAAUUGAUGGCGCCUUUCUUCUGU